RNAcentral lists this ribosomal RNA (752 nucleotides) under uncultured Bacteroidales bacterium. Its description in RNAcentral is "bacterial SSU rRNA". It matches the Rfam family "Bacterial small subunit ribosomal RNA", at positions 28 to 769 of the family's 1533-position model. The record is from RNAcentral. Lineage: Bacteria; Pseudomonadati; Bacteroidota; Bacteroidia; Bacteroidales.
GAUGAACGCUAGCUACAGGCUUAACACAUGCAAGUCGAGGGGCAGCAUGGUCUUAGCUUGCUAAGGCCGAUGGCGACCGGCGCACGGGUGAGUAACACGUAUCCAACCUGCCGUCUACUCUUGGACAGCCUUCUGAAAGGAAGAUUAAUACAAGAUGGCAUCAUGAGUCCGCAUGUUCACAUGAUUAAAGGUAUUCCGGUAGACGAUGGGGAUGCGUUCCAUUAGAUAGUAGGCGGGGUAACGGCCCACCUAGUCUUCGAUGGAUAGGGGUUCUGAGAGGAAGGUCCCCCACAUUGGAACUGAGACACGGUCCAAACUCCUACGGGAGGCAGCAGUGAGGAAUAUUGGUCAAUGGGCGAGAGCCUGAACCAGCCAAGUAGCGUGAAGGAUGACUGCCCUAUGGGUUGUAAACUUCUUUUAUAAAGGAAUAAAGUCGGGUAUGGAUACCCGUUUGCAUGUACUUUAUGAAUAAGGAUCGGCUAACUCCGUGCCAGCAGCCGCGGUAAUACGGAGGAUCCGAGCGUUAUCCGGAUUUAUUGGGUUUAAAGGGAGCGUAGAUGGAUAUUUAAGUCAGUUGUGAAAGUUUGCGGCUCAACCGUAAAAUUGCAGUUGAUACUGGAUAUCUUGAGUGCAGUUGAGGCAGGCGGAAUUCGUGGUGUAGCGGUGAAAUGCUUAGAUAUCACGAAGAACUCCGAUUGCGAAGGCAGCCUGCUAAGCUGCAACUGACAUUGAGGCUCGAAAGUGUGGGUAUC